Molecule: ribosomal RNA, 301 nt
Filed under: uncultured bacterium
Lineage: Bacteria
Description: partial 16S ribosomal RNA
Rfam family: Bacterial small subunit ribosomal RNA
Source: RNAcentral
CAGCAGCCGCGGUAAUACGGAGGGUGCAAGCGUUAAUCGGAAUUACUGGGCGUAAAGCGCACGCAGGCGGUCUGUCAAGUCAGAUGUGAAAUCCCCGGGCUUAACCUGGGAACUGCAUUUGAAACUGGCAGGCUAGAGUCUUGUAGAGGGGGGUAGAAUUCCAGGUGUAGCGGUGAAAUGCGUAGAUAUCGGAAGGAACACCUGUGGCGAAAGCGGCUCACUGGACCAUUUCUGACGCUGAUGCACGAAAGCUAGGGGAGCAAACAGGAUUAGAUACCCGUGUAGUCCCUGUCUCUUAUAC